GGGUCGUUAGCUCAGUUGGUAGAGCAGUUGACUUCUAAUCAAUUGGUCGCAGGUUCGAAUCCUGCACGACCCACCA
This 76-nucleotide transfer RNA is filed under the name Klebsiella pneumoniae. Its description in RNAcentral is "tRNA-Arg". It matches the Rfam family "tRNA". Rfam says of the family: Transfer RNA (tRNA) molecules are approximately 80 nucleotides in length. Their secondary structure includes four short double-helical elements and three loops (D, anti-codon, and T loops). RNAcentral also lists the same sequence under 1 other name. Lineage: Bacteria; Pseudomonadati; Pseudomonadota; Gammaproteobacteria; Enterobacterales; Enterobacteriaceae. The record is from RNAcentral.